Eutypa lata is the source of this 120-nucleotide ribosomal RNA. The record is from Rfam. Lineage: Eukaryota; Fungi; Ascomycota; Sordariomycetes; Xylariales; Diatrypaceae.
ACAUACGACCAUAUCAUCCAGAGAACUCGGGAUCCCGUCCGCUCUCCCCUAGAUAAGCUGGAUAGAGCCGAAUUAGUAGUUGGGUCGGUGACGACCAGCGAAUCCUUGGUGUUGUAUGUU